GACAGAGGGUGCAAACGUUGUUCGGAAUUACUGGGCAUAAAGCGCACGUAGGUGGUCCGCUAAGUCGCGUGUGAAAUCCCCCGGCUCAACCGGGGAAAUGCGCGUGAUACUGGCGGGCUUGAGAUCGGGAGGGGUGAAUGGAACUCCAGGUGGAGCGGUGAAAUGCGUAGAUAUCUGGAGGAACACCGGUGGCGAAAGCGGUUCACUGGCCCGACACUGACACUGAGGUGCGAAAGCUAGGGUAGCAAACAGG
RNAcentral lists this ribosomal RNA (253 nucleotides) under uncultured bacterium. RNAcentral's name for it is "partial 16S ribosomal RNA". It matches the Rfam family "Bacterial small subunit ribosomal RNA", at positions 524 to 776 of the family's 1533-position model. The record is from RNAcentral.